GCCGAACCCCGGAUUUCAAAAGAUCAAUUUGUCCAGAUGUGUCGUCACUUGUCACACGCAAAUUGCUUUGCGGAAAUCUCGGGCAAUUUGUCGAAGCACCAAUUCAGAAAUCGAAGAGGGAAAUUCAACAGUCAAAGACACGCUAGCUUUCUCAAAAGCUGGGUUUCAACCCACGGGAAAAUCUUCUUUUCCAGAUUUAUCCGCACGUGUCACA
This 214-nucleotide long non-coding RNA is filed under the name Malus domestica (apple). RNAcentral describes it as "long non-coding RNA (MDOM_LNC013511)". Lineage: Eukaryota; Viridiplantae; Streptophyta; Magnoliopsida; Rosales; Rosaceae. The record is from RNAcentral.